Molecule: ribosomal RNA, 584 nt
Filed under: uncultured Pseudomonadota bacterium
Lineage: Bacteria; Pseudomonadati; Pseudomonadota
Description: bacterial SSU rRNA
Rfam family: Bacterial small subunit ribosomal RNA
Source: RNAcentral
AACAGGAAGAAGCUUGCUUCUUUGCUGACGAGUGGCGGACGGGUGAGUAAUGUCUGGGAAACUGCCUGAUGGAGGGGGAUAACUACUGGAAACGGUAGCUAAUACCGCAUAACGUCGCAAGACCAAAAAGGGGGACCUUCGGGCCUCUUGCCAUCGGAUGUGCCCAGAUGGGAUUAGCUAGUAGGUGGGGUAACGGCUCACCUAGGCGACGAUCCCUAGCUGGUCUGAGAGGAUGACCAGCCACACUGGAACUGAGACACGGUCCAGACUCCUACGGGAGGCAGCAGUGGGGAAUACUGCACAAUGGGCGCAAGCCUGAUGCAGCCAUGCCGCGUGUAUGAAGAAGGCCUUCGGGUUGUAAAGUACUUUCAGCGGGGAGGAGGGGAGUAAAGUUAAUACCUUUGCUCAUUGACGUUACCCGCAGAAGAAGCACCGGCUAACUCCGUGCCAGCAGCCGCGGUAAUACGGAGGGUGCAAGCGUUAAUCGGAAUUACUGGGCGUAAAGCGCACGCAGGCGGUUUGUUAAGUCAGAUGUGAAUCCCCGGGCUCAACCUGGGAACUGCAUCUGAUACUGGCAAGCUUGA